AUGGAACCUUUUUGUAGGGAGAAGGGCAGGAUGUUUUUAACAGAAUGUGACCUCACUGGAAUACUAGAGAAAGCAAUAACAUUUCUGAAUGGGGCAGUGUGGAGAAAUCCUAAGAGAAAUAGCAUAAGAGCAUUUUGGAAUAUAUCCCGGAAAAGAUAACUUUCUACACAUCUGUAGACAUUUGCCAGGUUAAGGUAAGAAAAAAAAAAGAAUAUUGUUAAAAGUAGAUUUAGAUUAUUUCACUACGUCACACUGGGUUGAACUUUGGGAGAAAAACGAACCACUGAUGCAGGAUGGAUGAGGGGGGAGUUAGGAGGGUCCACCUUUUGCCCCUCCCUCUCUCGGGCAUG
This 350-nucleotide long non-coding RNA is filed under the name Vulpes vulpes (red fox). Its description in RNAcentral is "lncRNA (ENSVVUG00000017750.1)". The record is from RNAcentral. Lineage: Eukaryota; Metazoa; Chordata; Mammalia; Carnivora; Canidae.